AUGGCUUGUGUCACGUCGGUGAAGUACUCGGUAAAAUUUAAUGGGAAGCUACUGGAGUCCUUCCCUCCUUCAAGGGGACUCCUUCAAGGUGAUCCAUUGUCUCCAUUCCUCUUCUUAUUUGUAGCUAAUGCUCUUUCUGCGUUGAUUGAAAAGCCUGCAAGGGAAGAUGGUCUUAGUGGAGUCAAGAUAAGUAGAGGUGCUCCGGAGAUUACACACCUGUUGUUUGCGGAUGAUUCACUUCUAUUUUUUCAUGCAACAAAUCAGCAGGCAUUGUUAGUGAAAGGGGUGUUGAACACAUUUGCGACGGCAACUGGACAACUUAUUAACCCGUCGAAGUGUUCCAUUCUAUUCUCAAAUCAGUGUCAACCUGAUGUGGUUCAAGAGGUAAAAAACACGUUGGAUAUCACCCAAGAGGCGUUCGAGCCAAAGUAUUUGGGCUUGCCGGUUCCCGAGGGGAGGAUGCAUAAGGGGAAUUUUGAGACUAUCCAAGAGCGUUUGAGGAAAAUUCUUGUGGAUUGGAGUGAGCAGUACAUGUCGUCCGGGAAUAAGGAGGUCCUUAUCAAAUCAGUGGCACAGGCCAUACCAGCAUAUGUUAUGAGUGUAUUCAAAAUCCCGGCUUCGGUCUGUGAUGAUCUAACACGGAUGAUACGCCAGUAUUGGUGGGGGUGGAGAACGGGAAGAAGAAGAUGGCCUGGAUGA
Molecule: ribosomal RNA, 699 nt
Filed under: Triticum aestivum (bread wheat)
Lineage: Eukaryota; Viridiplantae; Streptophyta; Magnoliopsida; Poales; Poaceae
Description: partial small subunit ribosomal RNA
Source: RNAcentral